ACAAUAUUGUAUGGGGUAUUAUCUGACCUGACUGCUGCUGUACGUCUUCAUCAUCGUCUCCAACUAGUUGCUGUUCUUCAGCUAAAAAAAGCCAAUAAUUAUAGGAUCUGGGGAAAUAUAAAUGAUCCUGCAUAUAAAGCUGGCCAUAAACUAGCCUUGCCUGUGGUCCUGGUUUAUACGUGAUGGGGCAACAUCUUCAUAAAAUUUGUAUGUUCACCCAUUGUUUUCUUCCAGUUCCUGUAAGAAUUCUAAGAUUCUCUAUACAGCUCAUAUGUAUCUGAUAUUAAAUGAUUUGAUAUAAGGUUGUAUUUUGUUUCUUCUGGCUAUUAACUGGCUGUAUCCUCAUGUAUAAUAUGAUUUGAUUCCUUGCUGUUCGCUCGCUGUAAUCCCUAGCAUAUUUACAUAGCACCAUGGAACAUCUUUGACAAUUUGCUGAUUGCUCUUGAACUUUUGAAGCCAGAGUUUGCCUAAGUAAUAAAUAAACUUUGCCUUUCUGAGUAAUCCAUUGAAGACUUGACUUGUUAAACACUGCUAAACCAGCACAAUCAUAAUAUCAUCAUGGGGUAUAUCCUGUAUCUGUGUAAUGGCUCAUUUCAUCCCAUCUUGUAUUUUACAUGCUCAUGCCAUAGUGUAUUUAACAACUUUGUGUAGUCCUGAUGUCCUACAGUUAGUUGUCCAAAGCUGACCAUACAUGGCAUACAUGGUAUCAUAUAAGACCUAUAUCUAUGCUGGGUACAUCUCUAUCCUUAUUUUACUUUUUUUCAUCUUAAGUUCUUUUUUGCUCCCUAUAGCCCAAUUCUUGAAAAAAUACUUAUAUUGGCCAAAAGUUACUGAUGACUAGAUUUUGCACAAACUGGCUGCAAUUUAUGGAACAUUUUUUUUCCUAAACACAAUGUAGACCUAAUACAUGCAAAUAAUUGUAUUUAUACCUGAAAUGUCUCCUGCAUAUACACCAUGGUCAUAGACAUAUGUAAGCAUAUAACAUCAUAUUAAAAUUAACUUGACUUAAUGUUAUCAUAUUCUUUUAGAGAACUUCAAUUAUACACAUAUAUAAAAUUAACAAAAUAGAUAAAAAUUACUUUUAACCACUUGACACUUACCUUGCGCAUGAAUACAGGUAAGGAGUAGCAGAAGGCCUCCUAUAGAAACUAAUAACCUCCUAUUUGUCCCCAUGUUGUGUGCAGUUCGGUUACUGGACACCGAACUGGGGAUCAUAGAAGGAGGAACAGAAGCUAAGGGUCUUAUUUGAUCCUUUUAUAGAGUAAGCCUAGAUAUGGUAGUGAGGAUUUUUGUAUAAAACGGGGUGGAGACAGUGUGGAGGAUAUUGGCACUGCCAACAUAUGGGACGUCCUAUUCUGUUAAGGAUAAAGGCUACAGAGAAACUGUUUGCAUUAUGGGAGGUGGUUUGAUUAAUGUAUGAAAGAAGUAUUAAAUAUAAUUCAUGAUGAACCUUACAAGAACGUACAUUUAUUUUGCUUUUUUUUUGUAGAUUUGUAUA
This is a long non-coding RNA of Hyla sarda, 1498 nucleotides long. RefSeq lists it as uncharacterized. The record is from RefSeq and is a predicted model, not a curated record. The transcript is spliced from 3 exons. Lineage: Eukaryota; Metazoa; Chordata; Amphibia; Anura; Hylidae.